RNAcentral lists this ribosomal RNA (254 nucleotides) under uncultured bacterium. RNAcentral's name for it is "partial 16S ribosomal RNA". It matches the Rfam family "Bacterial small subunit ribosomal RNA", at positions 524 to 776 of the family's 1533-position model. The record is from RNAcentral.
UACGUAGGGGGCGAGCGUUGUCCGGAUUUAUUGGGCGUAAAGAGCUCGUAGGUGGUUUGGUUAGUCGGAUGUGAAAUCUCCAGGCUCAACUUGGAGGGGUCAUCCGAUACUGCCAUGACUAGAGUUCGGUAGAGGAGUGUGGAAUUCCUGGUGGAGCGGUGAAAUGCGCAGAUAUCGGGAGGAACACCAGUAGCGAAGGCGGCUCGCUGGGCCAUUCCUGACGCUGAGACGCGAAAGCUAGGGGAGCGAACAGG